GAAUGGCUAGCAUGAAGAAAAAGCAAAAAGAGAGAGAGCACCUACACAUGUAUGACUUACUGGGAUAUUAGCCAAAGCAGUCAAACAAACAGUUGUUCAACAGAGAUUUCAAAAAGUCUUGCUCCUUUUCAUAACUUCAAAACUGAUGCUACCAGGUUUCAGUGCACAUCGCAUUUCUAAUAAGAAAGGAAACAAGCAAGUGCUGAUGUGUGGCACGUAAUUGCAACAAUUCCGACUACAUUUGUCUAAUGGGGAUGAAUAACGCUUUUCAGCAAGGUAUACACUGAGGAAUAAUGAAAACAGGGCUGAAACGCAUUCCACAACUGGGAUCCUAUCAAACAUAUAUUUAAGUUUCACUUUAAUUUGUUACAGUACACUGUUGAAAU
Long non-coding RNA from Gallus gallus (chicken), 386 nucleotides. NCBI's taxonomy places the organism in Eukaryota, Metazoa, Chordata, Aves, Galliformes, Phasianidae. The record is from Ensembl.